Molecule: long non-coding RNA, 1117 nt
Organism: Capsicum annuum
Lineage: Eukaryota; Viridiplantae; Streptophyta; Magnoliopsida; Solanales; Solanaceae
Exons: 3
Source: RefSeq, a predicted model, not a curated record
GUCCAAGUAAUAUAAGAAGGUUAAAGGACACCAACUUAUAAAUAUCAAUCUACGAUUAAAAUGGACAUAGUCAAGAACCAACUUAUUAAAAAAAAUAUCAAUCCUUUCUGGUAAUACGAUUAAAACGAACAUAGAUAAGUCACGAUUUUUGUUUAUCACAUAUAAGCUAAGACCAUCAGGCAAAGUCAACUAUAAAAUGCUAUUAGAUAUUAGAUAAGAGGAAGACAAAGAAUCAAAUUAAUUAGAUAUUUCUAAUAGCACAUAAAAUGCUAAACAAAAGUCAAAAAUAGGAGAAAAAGAAUAAAUACUUUUUUGGUGCAUGAGGCAUGCCAUAUCAUCAUAUCUAUAAAUCUCUUUUAUAUAGAGAGAGAUAUUUGCCUCUCUCUGUAAUCACUUUGCUGUCGUGGCAUGUUGAUCCGAGAAAUGAAGUUACAUGUUAGCGGUGUUUAGUUCGGAUUCAAAAAGGAUAUGGUUGCUUUGUGUCUGAUUUCAAUUUCAGUUCUGUGUUUGAUGAUAUGUCCAGACUUAUUCAAUUUGAAGUGACCAAGUUCGAAAAUUCAACUAGAUAAGCCGAUGCAACUGGUGAUAAUUUAGGUGCACUUUAUGUGUUUCACAUUUCAUCCUUCAUGGGAUUUGUUGGCACCAUGGAAGAAGUGGUGAAACCUGAAGCUGAUGAUGGAUAAAGCUUACAAAGAGCAUGGUGAACAGAGUGAAUAUUAUGGAAAAAAUGCACAGGUUAGGAUUUCGGGAGAGAGGUGGGGACAAGAAUAAAUGCCACGUACAGAUGGGUGCAACAAUGAAUGCCACAUAUGGAGAGGAGAUAUUAUUGAUUCUUGAUGCAUCUGAUUAUACCUACAUUAGCGUAGUUGAGAGUUGAGAUUGGUUUUGCUAUCUGCAUAAUUCCUUUAUAUGUGUAAAUGGAAGUUGAGAGUUUUUAAUGUUAAGGGUGUUUGUUAUCGGCCCUAUUAGAAGCUAAUCAACUGAUGAGAAAGUAGAUUUACUAGAGGUAUGCUAUAGCACGAUUGGUUUCCUGUUCAUGUUUUAAAAAGGAGAUCAUGUUUGUUUGGAUGAGCCACUGUUAUCUUUAUUUUUCAACUUAGUGAUCAAGAUUUCUGAA